Molecule: unclassified non-coding RNA, 382 nt
Filed under: uncultured bacterium
Lineage: Bacteria
Description: contains 16S-23S intergenic spacer region
Source: RNAcentral
UCCGAGUUGACCCCGGCAGUCUCCUACGAGUCCCCGGCAUAACCCGCUGGCAAUUAACGACAAGGGUUGCGCUCGUUGCGGGACUUAACCCAACAUCUCACGACACGAGCUGACGACAGCCAUGCAGCACCUGUGUUACGGUCCCCUUUCGGGCACUCUCCCAUCUCUGGGAGAUUCCGUACAAGUCAAGGGUAGGUAAGGUUUUUCGCGUUGCAUCGAAUUAAUCCACAUAAUCCACCGCUUGUGCGGGUCCCCGUCAAUUCCUUUGAGUUUUAGCCUUGCGGCCGUACUCCCCAGGCGGGGUGCUUAAUGCGUUAGCUUCGGCACGGACGGGGUUGAUAUCCGCCCACACCUAGCACCCAACGUUUACGGCUAGGACUAC